Non-coding RNA from Elaeis guineensis (African oil palm), 345 nucleotides. NCBI's taxonomy places the organism in Eukaryota, Viridiplantae, Streptophyta, Magnoliopsida, Arecales, Arecaceae. The record is from RefSeq and is a predicted model, not a curated record.
CUUCCUCCUUCUCUUCCCUUCUUUCUCUUCUUCUUCCCUAUUGCUGUCUUGGGGGCCAUGGUCAUUGUCAUGGAUAAACUUUUCAAUAGAUUAUCAGGUUCAAAAAAAUCAUCAUAGAGUGGUUACUUAUUUGGCUAUCGGCAUCUUGAGUUUUCAGAUUCAAAGACUCCUUUUGGAGAAUCAGACCUUAGUGUUUUGGGAUUUAUGUCUAGAGGCGAGAUCAGUUUGUAAAAGAUGAUUAUUUUUGGGAUAGUUGUGCUUAAUGAUAUUAUGUAGAAUUGAUAUGGAUUACUGUAAAGUUAAAGUUAAAAUUGAAAUACAAAAUGGUUAGUUGUUCUAUUAUUA